UACGAAGGGGGCUAGCGUUGCUCGGAAUCACUGGGCGUAAAGGGUGCGUAGGCGGGGCUUUAAGUCAGGGGUGAAAUCCUGGAGCUCAACUCCAGAACUGCCUUUGAUACUGAAGAUCUUGAGUUCGGGAGAGGUGAGUGGAACUGCAAGUGUAGAGGUGAAAUUCGUAGAUAUUCGCAAGAACACCAGUGGCGAAGGCGGCUCACUGGCCCGAUACUGACGCUGAGGCACGAAAGCGUGGGGAGCAAAAGGG
This 253-nucleotide ribosomal RNA is filed under the name uncultured bacterium. Its description in RNAcentral is "partial 16S ribosomal RNA". It matches the Rfam family "Bacterial small subunit ribosomal RNA", at positions 524 to 776 of the family's 1533-position model. The record is from RNAcentral.